AGAUGAUCCAUAAUUAUAUGGAACAUUUAGAAAGAACAAAACUUCAUCAGCUCUCAGGGAGUGAUCAACUAGAAUCCACAGCUCAUAGUAGAAUUAGAAAAGAACGCCCUAUAUCAUUAGGAAUUUUCCCAUUACCUGCUGGAGAUGGAUUGCUUACACCUGAUGCUCAGAAAGGAGGAGAGACCCCUGGAUCUGAGCAAUGGAAAUUUCAGGAAUUAAGUCAACCACGUUCUCAUACCAGCCUGAAGGUCAGCAAUAGUCCUGAACCUCAGAAGGCUGUAGAACAGGAGGUGAGAAUGGUGCUUCUUAACAUUUUGCAAAAAGUAUACUAAAGUGAUUAACUAUUGAUUACUUCCUCAACUGCUAUUCUCAAGACAUCAGAUGCUCAGCUUGGAAGACUAUUGUUGUAAUUCACUGAAAUAUAAAAGAAAAUUAUUUCCACUGUAGUGGUUGUCAGGGCUUUACUGCAAUCUGUAAUUUAUUCCUUCCCCAAAGUAAGCAUUUUUAAAUAAAGGAAAGAAAAUAUAA
Molecule: long non-coding RNA, 528 nt
Filed under: Homo sapiens (human)
Lineage: Eukaryota; Metazoa; Chordata; Mammalia; Primates; Hominidae
Description: non-protein coding lnc-MBTD1-3:1
Source: RNAcentral